GUUCUUUCUCUGGUUUCAUCAGGACCACACUCUGAUCCACCACCCGCAGACCACAGAGAGACCCAGGAGAAGCCUGGACCUCGAGAGACACGUCUGAUCCGGGAAGAACUUCACUGGGGGAAAACCCAGCUGACACCUAGAAAAAAGUUACAACAUAAGACUUAGUUGAAAUAGAACACUAGUUAUGGUCCAGUUAUCUGACUAAGCAAAUUUAACAGCAGAUGCCUGGUCGGCCAAUCACUGGUUAAGGUAAGACAACGCUGUGGUCAGUGAUUGCCUGAGAGUGAAUUUUUACAUGGAAUUCAGGAAGUGUUGCCCAGCAGGAAUUGGGCACCAUUAAAAUCAUGCAGGAGAGAUCAUCAGUAUCAAAACUUUUGGGUGCCGACAUCUGACACCAAACCGCCACAGACCACCCCCCCCUUCGGUCAGGCACCAAUAUUCACAAAGAAACAGAGAUGGAAGUAGGCAGCUUCAUGCAGUGAUUGGUUACUGUAGAUCAACUUCCAUUCCACCGAUCUGAAUUUUCCUUGAAAACCUUUAC
Long non-coding RNA from Hyla sarda, 541 nucleotides. RefSeq lists it as uncharacterized. NCBI's taxonomy places the organism in Eukaryota, Metazoa, Chordata, Amphibia, Anura, Hylidae. The record is from RefSeq and is a predicted model, not a curated record. The transcript has 3 exons.